RNAcentral lists this long non-coding RNA (2249 nucleotides) under Homo sapiens (human). RNAcentral's name for it is "non-protein coding lnc-HDX-2:1". Lineage: Eukaryota; Metazoa; Chordata; Mammalia; Primates; Hominidae. The record is from RNAcentral.
GAUCUGUAUAUUAUCCAUAAUAAGUGGCCUCAUUUAGAAAUAAAGGUUUUUAUAAGGCUUCUGUAAAUUUUACAUCAUGGAAAUUUAGUACAAGUGAAACUUUUUUUUUUUCCAAAGGCUUUAUACUGUUGGUGUAAUCUUAUAAAUAGGUCAUAGUUAAGCCUUUGAAAAUGAAGUAUGUGGUGUUGACACUAUCCUGGUGUUAUAUAAACUGACUUUCAAGUUAACCAAUUGGAUUGUAAUCAUCAUCUAUCCCCUUUAUAAAUGAACUACACUGUUGUUUUUCUGACUUCGAUGUGCUUUGAAGUACAGUGUAGCAUAUCAUUCUACCUUGAAUCCUAUGAUAAUACAGUUGACAUCUUGCUGUAGUGGACUUGUGCAUAUAGCACACAUGAUAUAGUAUAUUGUAUUACAGUAAACUUUAGACAAUGCUACUUAAUCAUUUUACUUCAUGAAGAUAAACUAACAUUUUAAAUAUGAAUAAUAUUAAUGGUCUACAAAAAAUUUGAGCACAUUUUAAAAUCAUAUUUAUAAAAAACUGGCCAAAUUGGUCUUAUUUAAUGUAUAAUUCAGAACCACUGUGUAGUAUGUAUUCUUUUCUCUAAAUGAUGAAAUGCUAAAGAAUCAUUUCACGUUGUUGAAGAAAAUACCGUUGCUACAACAACAGCAGCAGCUACUACUGCUACUACUACUACUACUACUACUACUACUACUACUACUGACAGAAAGAAUUCAUGAAUGUAAACUGGAGGAUAUCACAGUUUUCUUUAGUGAAUAUAAGUGAACUACUUGUGCGUGUUAGGUGUACUAUUUGCUAUGUAUUUUAUUUUGCUUUAUUCAGAGAGAAAGUUGAUUACUGAGUGCUGAAUUAUACAAUUUAGGCUAGGAAACUCGUAACUUUGGUAUUUAAUAAAAGAAACUAUACAUAUUCUGUUUGUAAUGUAAAUAAUCUAUACCCCAUGCACAAAUAUCUGUUUCCUGGGUGUGAUAUAUUAAAGUAUGUAUUCUUAUUUUGAGGUAUCUUUUGGAAAUAAUUGAAAGAGAUUAAAUAACAAUUUAUGCCACAUGAAAAAUAAUUACUUAGAAGUAGUUAGGUAUCAUGUCUUAUGGCUUUUUAUGUUCCAUUUUGGCUUUUUUUCUCAUUUGCUUUAUUACUAUAUGUACUUGCAUGUAACAGUUUGUAAGCAUAUAUUCUGACUUAUUUUCCUUCUGUCAUUAUCUAGUGCUGUUAUGCCUUCCUAUCAGAAUCGAUAAGUCAAACUCAGAGGUGUGAUUUUGGUGUUGAAGUUUUCAGGACAGAGAUACUAUUUCCAUGGAUGCAUUUUAAGUAAUAAAAUUAGGGGAAGUGAAAUCAGAAAAUGAAAAAUGAUUACAAAAUAACUUUCAGGUUUUCUAUAAUCAAUGGCUUUAAAAAGUAGACAGUCUUAAUUAAUUUUAAAUUAGCUUGCUCAGAAAGGUCAUGCCAUACAGUCCUAUCAUAAAAGGAACACUAUAAGAAUUAAGCAAUGAACAGCAUGAUUUCUGAUCACCCAGUGAGGACUGACAGUGUAUAAAAGAUACAGGUAUGCUACUGGAUGUACCCGAUAAUUGUUUGAGAGUUUUCUAGUGAAAAACUCAAAUAUGCUAGCUUAACCACAGUAGUAGGGGGCAACCUUAUUAUAUGGGAGAGCUUCAAAACAUACUGUCAUUUUGUAGAAGGAGCCCAGGUAAGGAUGCCUAAUCCUGUCCAGUUUGGCUAGAACUCCAUAGCCAAAAAUGCAGAUUUGGAUUGAACAUUUUUUUGAUGGGACUUCUAUCAAUGCUUAACUAGUAAAAACACAUCUUUUCUAUAAGACUUUAGAAUACUGUGGUUUCUAAUGGGUUCUUGAAUAAUGAUUUUGCAUUGUGUUUUUCUAGUUAAUGGUUUUUGGUAGUAUUUAAUGAUAGCACAGUUUGGGGUUUUAUUGUUCUUGAAGGGGGAGGAUAUUGAAUUUGUUUUUCUUAGAGAAAACAUCAGGUUUGCUCAAAUAGACUAACAACCUGUUGUCCUUAAGCACAUACUACCAUGAAUAAACUCAGGAAACAAUUUUCAAGAAAAUUCGAAUGCAGUGCUGGUGAUGGGGAUUUUUGUGGGAAAAAACAAUGGUUUCAAGUCCUUUCACAAAGAUCAAACUUCAGCCUAUUUUGUUAGACUCAGCAAUGUCUAAAACAGUGUUUUUUGUAAUUUAUUGUCAUUGGUAAUUCAAUAUAAUAAAACAAUUUUGAUAGCA